Molecule: long non-coding RNA, 787 nt
Organism: Juglans regia (Persian walnut)
Lineage: Eukaryota; Viridiplantae; Streptophyta; Magnoliopsida; Fagales; Juglandaceae
Exons: 4
Source: RefSeq, a predicted model, not a curated record
UUUCGUUGCGCUGCUUGCGCAGUCCAGUGGUGACGAAGGUGAGAGGCGUCGGAAGAAGUCUGAACCCAGGUCCGGUUCGCGGCGCGGGCAAGUACUCGAGAUCCAAGACGCACCACAAGCACGGCCUCAGGGCCAUCAUGGCCAAUAACGGCGGCGUCUUCCCCCUCCACGAUCCCAAGCUGGCGGCUUCCGUUGUUCAUUUUGUUCAGUACGUCUCCUUCGCUAUUAAAAGCUUUUCCUCUGACUAACAAACUGGAGAAAAUGGAAGACAACUGGAGCUGAGUGUGGGAUAGUCUCUAAAAAUGGCCAUUCAAGAUCAGUGGCAUUCCCUCAAGACAUGUGAACCAAUCUUAUAAGGUUGCAACUUCCACCAAGGUCGACAUUUCUGGGGUCAAUUUAUAAAUGUUUGAUGACAAUUACUUGGCAAAAGGUGUAGAAAGAAGAAAAAUAAAGGAAAAGGAGUGAACUUUGAGGCAGAGAGGAAGCGAAGAUAAUGUAAAGCAAGAGAAACAGAGUUAAAAGAAAGAAAUUCAUAGGGUACUACUAAAGUAGUGUGCCAGCUUAAACAAAAGCAAAAGCAAAGCAGAAGGCAAGGCUUAAGGAUAUUUUGGACAAACUAUUUUCAGGAACUCAGAAGCAGAUUUGCUUAAUGGGUGAAAUUUGAGUCCUGUUAUAGAUAUUUAUAUCUGUUAAAUUGCUAUUUAUCUCAAAAACUUAGUUGAUGGAAGAGCUAGGUUUAAGUAUAUUUUUUCUGAUAUCAUGAAAAAUCAUCACUUGAUUUAAAAGU